GAUGAACGCUAGCGGCAGGCUUAACACAUGCAAGUCGAGGGGUAUAACACUUCGGUGUUAGAGACCGGCGCACGGGUGCGUAACGCGUAUGUAAUCUACCUUUUACAGAGGGAUAGCCCAGAGAAAUUUGGAUUAAUACCUCAUGGUAUUAUGGAUAGGCAUCUAUUUAUAAUUAAAGAUUUAUCGGUAAAAGAUGAGCAUGCGUCCCAUUAGCUAGUUGGUAUGGUAACGGCAUACCAAGGCGACGAUGGGUAGGGGUCCGAGAGGGAGACCCCCCCCACUGGAACGGCGACACGGACCAGACUCCUACGGGGGGGAGCAGUGAGGAAUAUUGGACAAUGGGCGCAGGCCUGAUCCAGCCAUGCCGCGUGCAGGAUGACUGCCCUAUGGGUUGCAAACUGCUUUUGUACAGGAAGAAACCCUUCUACGAGUAGAAGAUUGACGGUACUGUAAGAAUAAGGAUCGGCUAACUCCGUGCCAGCAGCCGCGGUAA
This 493-nucleotide ribosomal RNA is filed under the name uncultured bacterium. Its description in RNAcentral is "partial 16S ribosomal RNA". It matches the Rfam family "Bacterial small subunit ribosomal RNA", at positions 28 to 523 of the family's 1533-position model. The record is from RNAcentral.